UAUCGAAAUUUACGUUGUCCA
Molecule: non-coding RNA, 21 nt
Filed under: Caenorhabditis elegans
Lineage: Eukaryota; Metazoa; Nematoda; Chromadorea; Rhabditida; Rhabditidae
Source: RNAcentral